This 72-nucleotide transfer RNA is filed under the name Loxodonta africana (African savanna elephant). It matches the Rfam family "tRNA". From Rfam's summary of the family: Transfer RNA (tRNA) molecules are approximately 80 nucleotides in length. Their secondary structure includes four short double-helical elements and three loops (D, anti-codon, and T loops). The record is from Rfam by way of RNAcentral. Lineage: Eukaryota; Metazoa; Chordata; Mammalia; Proboscidea; Elephantidae.
GCAUUGGGGUUUCAGUGGUAGAAUUCUCACCUUCCACGCAAGAGACCCCAGGUAUGAUUCCCAGCCAAUGCA